GUGGGGAAUAUUGCACAAUGGGCGCAAGCCUGAUGCAGCCAUGCCGCGUGUGUGAAGAAGGCCUUCGGGUUGUAAAGCACUUUCAGCGGGGAGGAAGGCGUUAAGGUUAAUAACCUUGGCGAUUGACGUUACCCGCAGAAGAAGCACCGGCUAACUCCGUGCCAGCAGCCGCGGUAAUACGGAGGGUGCAAGCGUUAAUCGGAAUUACUGGGCGUAAAGCGCACGCAGGCGGUCUGUCAAGUCGGAUGUGAAAUCCCCGGGCUCAACCUGGGAACUGCAUUCGAAACUGGCAGGCUAGAGUCUUGUAGAGGGGGGUAGAAUUCCAGGUGUAGCGGUGAAAUGCGUAGAGAUCUGGAGGAAUACCGGUGGCGAAGGCGGCCCCCUGGACAAAGACUGACGCUCAGGUGCGAAAGCGUGGGGAGCAAACAGGAUUAGAUACCCGGGUAGUCC
This 450-nucleotide ribosomal RNA is filed under the name uncultured bacterium. RNAcentral's name for it is "partial 16S ribosomal RNA". It matches the Rfam family "Bacterial small subunit ribosomal RNA", at positions 354 to 796 of the family's 1533-position model. The record is from RNAcentral.